Non-coding RNA from Danio rerio (zebrafish), 2036 nucleotides. NCBI's taxonomy places the organism in Eukaryota, Metazoa, Chordata, Actinopteri, Cypriniformes, Danionidae. The record is from RefSeq and is a predicted model, not a curated record.
CAUGCGUGUGUGUGUGUGUUUUUGUAUCUCUAACUGCGACACUUUUCAGGAGAAAUAAAAGUUGAACAUCAGCUUUAACGCUGUAAUCAAGCGUGGGCCUUUCUUCUGGCGCAGGACGUUUUAAAUUAACAUCUCUCAGUGAGGAGGAAUUGCUCUCGCCUUUGUGAGAGAGGAAAGAUAAUCUCAGCUGGUGGCAACGUGCCCAAAGUUAGGCUUCGUGGGAAGUCCAGACUCCCUUCCCCGACAUCUGCCAGCGAGUGCCUUCAACGACACCUCACUGUCUCCAGCAAACCUCUUCCAAGAACACAGCAAGAAAUAUAUCUGCAUUUGUUACUUGAAGGACUUAUUUGUACCUGAUGUGAGACUGAUCGCUGUUUUUAUUGGCAUAACAGCUUGUAUUCAGAAUUCUCACGAUAAAGGGGAAAACCUGGAAAUAUCACUUAUUUUAAGUGCUCUGGUCUGGAAUGAGUCAUUCACAAUGGAAAAACAAUCAAACACAUCCUUUUUUUUAAAUCUACCCACCCAGGCUCCAUCUGAAAAUGUACCCCUAUAUACAUUUCUGGGGAGUGCCAAAUACAUACCAGGAGAAAUCCACCAGGGGCUGCUGUUGACUGACUGACCGAUCAACUGACCCGCCCUCCUCCUUCCCUAACCCCAACCGAUAGUGUUUUCAAAAACAUCGAUUGACCCGACUGAUCGAUUGAUCAGCUCAAAAGUGCGAAAAGGAACUGAGUCAUACCACCCUGAAGUGUUAAUUUUAAGGGCAAAAUGCAGCCAUACAUACUUCUGGCUACAUCAUAUGCGACCUCCAGAAAUCUAUAUAGGUAUAAGUUUUCAGAAUGAGGCAAUGUUGGUGUCUACAGAUCCAAGGGAAAGGGAAAGUCCUUCCAAAAAUUAAAAUAACGUAUUCCUAAGAAUGCUAGGCCUUUUCGCACUUUCCAGCAGACCGCUAAGCUCCAUAUGGACGGCUUUCCCGUUGUUACCAGUUUGUCCAGUGGCUCACCUCAUACGUCGGAAGAUUUGAAACGCAGAGACGAGCUGACUACAACAACGAGGGUCGAAUUCAGUGAGGAACAGUUCCAGAAAGCAGAUAAGCCAAAAACAGAAGCCAAAAAAUAAAAUAAAUAAGUAAAUAACAGGGUGAGAAUCUGGUAAAAUCUGAAAAUGUUGUUUGUUUGUUGUGUAUUGUUAGCGUAAAUCAAUACAUUUUGAAAAUAUUGCAACACAGGCUAAUUGUGGAUAUGAACCCCUGACUUCAUUUCUGGACAGCGAAAAUUAUGUAGUCAGAAGUACGUAUACCUGCAUUUCGUCUUUAAAACAAACGCAACAGGGCAAUAUGAUGCCGUAGAUGGCUUCUGCUUCUUUUAGUGCUACAAGCUGACCACUUAUCUCCAUACGGACAGAUUUUUAUAGUGUUACCAGUUUGCCCAGUAGCUCGCCACAUAUGUUGGCAGACUUGGCACAUGGAGCGGAGUUGACUGCAAUGACGAAGUUUGAGUCUGGUGAAGAACGGUUCCUGAAACCAGGUAAAACAAAAGCAAAAAUAUAAAGAAAGAAAUAAGCUAAAAAUGUGGUGAAAUCACACGGUCGCAGUGGCUUUUCUUUUCUAUUGAAAACACCAUUGGUUCAGGGAUGGGUGUGGGAGGGUCAGUCGGUUGGUUAGUUGACCGCAAGCUGUCCUUGCUGGCUGAAGUGUAUAUUGUCUGAAGUGUAUAAGAAGAGGACGCAUGAGACAAAUGUAGGAUCAACAAAAAACAAACACAGCGGCCUCUGGUGGAUUUGCGAAAACAAAAACUGCGUGCAGAUGUACCUCUGCUCACUUAUUUUGCUGUCCACAGAAAUGCAGACCUGGGUACAUAUCUACAAUGAGCCUGAGUUUAUUUAUUUAUUUAUUGCUUGAAUGAUUGAUUGAUCAAUCAUUUCAGUGCUCAUAUAUUCUUGUGUACAUCUGAAUAUGUAAUAGAUAGGAAUCCAUCAUUUUAUUCAUUUAAAUUUGCAUUUUAAAAGAUCAUAAUCCAACCCAGGCUCAUUCUGAA